RNAcentral lists this ribosomal RNA (253 nucleotides) under uncultured bacterium. RNAcentral's name for it is "partial 16S ribosomal RNA". It matches the Rfam family "Bacterial small subunit ribosomal RNA", at positions 524 to 776 of the family's 1533-position model. The record is from RNAcentral.
UACGUAGGGGGCAAGCGUUGUCCGGAAUCAUUGGGCGUAAAGAGCGUGUAGGCGGCCCGAUAAGUCCGCUGUGAAAGUCCAGGGCUCAACCCUGGGAUGCCGGUGGAUACUGUCGGGCUCGAGUCCGGAAGAGGAGUGUGGAAUUCCCGGUGUAGGGGUGAAAUCCGUAGAUAUCGGGAGGAAUACCAGCGGCGAAGGCGGCCUUCUGGACGGUGACUGACGCUGAGACGCGAAAGCGUGGGGAGCAAACAGG